RNAcentral lists this ribosomal RNA (301 nucleotides) under uncultured bacterium. RNAcentral describes it as "partial 16S ribosomal RNA". It matches the Rfam family "Bacterial small subunit ribosomal RNA", at positions 509 to 807 of the family's 1533-position model. The record is from RNAcentral.
CAGCCGCCGCGGGAACACAGAGGGUGCGAGCGUUAAUCGGAUUUACUGGGCGUAAAGCGUGCGUAGGCGGCUUUUUAAGUCGGAUGUGAAAUCCCUGAGCUUAACUUAGGAAUUGCAUUCGAUACUGGGAAGCUAGAGUAUGGGAGAGGAUGGUAGAAUUCCAGGUGUAGCGGUGAAAUGCGUAGAGAUCUGGAGGAAUACCGAUGGCGAAGGCAGCCAUCUGGCCUAAUACUGACGCUGAGGUACGAAAGCAUGGGGAGCAAACAGGAUUAGAGACCCCCGUAGUCCCUGUCUCUUAUAC